GAUUCGAUAAAGGAUCCUAGACUGAUAUCACUGUGAUCAUCCACUAUCCUGAUCUCAAUCUUAAUUUUUAUAGAAGAUCCAUCGUUGAUAAUGCUUAUCAUAUCAUAUUUGAAUUUAUUAGAUUUUUGAUCAACUGAUCAGGAUAUUAGGAUUUUAUCUACUUAGGCUAUUAGACAUCAUUGUCCGAGCAAUUGUAACUUUUCUCUCUUUUAAUUUUUUCAUCAUGGCCAUAUUUACUUUAUAAUUUUUUCUGAUUAUUGAUAUCGGCUACGUUUGAGUACAAUGAACUGGGCA
Molecule: long non-coding RNA, 294 nt
Filed under: Elaeis guineensis (African oil palm)
Lineage: Eukaryota; Viridiplantae; Streptophyta; Magnoliopsida; Arecales; Arecaceae
Description: long non-coding RNA (EGUI_LNC059769)
Source: RNAcentral